GAGUUUGAUCGUGGCUCAGAUUGAACGCUGGCGGCAUGCUUUACACAUGCAAGUCGAACGGCAGCGCGGGGCAACCUGGCGGCGAGUGGCGAACGGGUGAGUAAUAUAUCGGAACGUACCCAAGAGUGGGGGAUAACGUAGCGAAAGUUACGCUAAUACCGCAUACGAUCUAAGGAUGAAAGUGGGGGAUCGCAAGACCUCAUGCUCCUGGAGCGGCCGAUAUCUGAUUAGCUAGUUGGUGAGGUAAAGGCUCACCAAGGCGACGAUCAGUAGCUGGUCUGAGAGGACGACCAGCCACACUGGAACUGAGACACGGUCCAGACUCCUACGGGAGGCAGCAGUGGGGAAUUUUGGACAAUGGGCGCAAGCCUGAUCCAGCAAUGCCGCGUGAGUGAAGAAGGCCUCGGUUGUAAGUACGUCUUUGUUCUA
RNAcentral lists this ribosomal RNA (429 nucleotides) under uncultured microorganism. RNAcentral describes it as "bacterial SSU rRNA". It matches the Rfam family "Bacterial small subunit ribosomal RNA", at positions 9 to 442 of the family's 1533-position model. The record is from RNAcentral.